GUUGAAUCCUCCAGUGGCCUUCCCUGCAAAUUUCUUUUCCAGCUAUAUUUAAUUAUGAAUUCAAUUUUGAAUAGUUGCAGAGAUAAUCACAUUACCUGGAUCAUAUUGGUGUAUUUCUUAGGAUUUUCUACAUUCAAGAUCAUCCAUCUGCAGACAGAAGCGGGUUUACUUAUUACCUUAUAGUCCAGGUGGAGAGAUCCAGGGUCUGGAAAGAAGCCGCCCAGGGGGACAGCAGGAACCAUCCUCGGGAGGCAGGAAACCCUGGCCACAGGCUGGAGAAGGGGAAGUGUCCUGAAGGAUGCUGCGUGCAGCUCGGUGACUGCGUGUUCUUGUUAAUCGCUGGACUCAUCAGAAUUCUAGCCACGGUGUUCUCAUCUGUCAGCCGCAGCUUUGAUUCUCUUUUGCAAUUAGAUUCGUAAAAGCCUCAAAAACACACUUGGACAUAGGCGUCCAUAGCCCUGAUGCUGAUGGCUGAUGACAAAUUGCAGAGCCCCUCCUUCCACAGGGCACUCUCAGGAGACGCGCUGUGCACCUGUAAUCUGCAGUCUGGUGACUUUGGCUGUUGGGAAGGACAAGUACAUGAAGACCUCCACCUGCCCCUUUGGUCCCUCUCACCAGCCACCGUACUGCCAUGUUCAAAGACAUUGGUGCCUGGAUCCCAUCUUAAAAACAUCCCCACCCCUGACUGAACCAGCAGGUGACUUAACACAAUCCCCACAUUGAAGCAAGUGACAUUUGUCAGCCUGCCAUGCCGAGAUCCUGGACCAGCCCAUUCUCGGCGGACACAACAUCUUUGUUGGUAUGUGGUGCUGAGGAUCGAACCCGGGCCGCAUGCAUGCCAGGUGAGCACGCUACCGCUUGAGCCACAUCUCCAGCCCCAGCAAUUGGGAUCUUAAGAUGGCUCUGUGUAGUGGCGGCUGCCCAAACUCCUGCAAGCACGAGUGCACCUUCCUUCACGGCAACGUAUGUGCGUUUCUGUCUCAUAAAACUCCAGCCUUCCCUUUGUUCUACAGACACACCGGAGGCCAUCCAAACCUAUGCAUGUGUCCCAGAUUGCAAUCCUACUCUUCGCUCGUUCCCAGAUACUAUUCCCUUCAUGGAAUCCUCUCUAUUUCUGUUUGGCUCUGGCAAGGCUACACCCAGAGCUCCAGCUUUGCUGAGACCUGUUUAGGUGCGAUGCAGUGACACUCUGUUUCCAAACCCCACAGCUGACGUCAAGUGCAAAAGGGGAUAUCUGUAGACAGAUGGCAGAGCAGAUAACAGCCACCUCUUAGGUUUCUUUAUUCAAUGUGGAUGAUCAUUUUCUUGGAGGAGCGCCCUGAAAUCCCCUCUGAGAGGCCCCUCAGAGUAAGGUCCUGGAAAUCACACUGGGUAUGCCCUGAGGUUCCCACGGCCUCCACCCACCUCUCCCCCUCCCACUGGGCCCGUAGUUACUGGAGUUGGCGGUACUGUGGCCCGGCCUCUGAUGGAGAAUUGGGUCUCCCCUGUCAGCUCAGUAGUGACCUGCAGCGUGGUGUCCUCAGGCCUCACCCUGACAUGUGGGUAGUCAAGGGACACAUGUGUGCUCAGGUGUGGCCGGAGGUGAUGCACACUAUGGACCCACGGGCACAGAGCUUCACAUGCCACAUGCCACACACAAAGUGUGCACACCAUACACCACCCAGCCCGCAGCAGCAGCGCCUGCAGUGGACUGAGCUGGAGCAUUCAGAACUUGUCCCUGUCUCUGAAGGAGCUGCAGGAGGACAAGGGGAAGGGCGGUGGCCUUGUCACCACCGUCUGGUUGCGUGAGAUGCCAGAUCUUAACGUUUGGUUCCUCUGGAGACUGAAAGGCUGGGCGCCAGGGACUCCACUCCUUCCUGACAGUGCUUGGCUGUGACUGAGCACUGAUGUCACCAGCACGGCCUCUGCAGGACAGUGAGCGUGUGGCCUCGACACAAGUGCUCAGCACAACGCCAGGCGGCUCUGUCAGUCCUGCACCUCCACUUACCUUCCUGUCGGCUUCCCCCCACUGUGUCAGGAGCCUGGGAACUGCAUCCUCCAUCCCUGCUGGGCUCACUGGCCUUGGAUGUAAGAUGGUCUGCAGGCAGCAGGCCCUCGUGGCCUCUGCCAUUAAUUGAGAAGGAGCUGGGGGAGCUAUGCUGCAGGUGGAGCCCUUGGAAGCAGAGGUUUCUUCCUUUGGACUUCACCCUGGCCAUGCACCAAUCCUCAAGAAGCCCGAAGUGGGAGAGUGGUGACAAAUGGCACCUGCUAGUGACUUUCCCUGGGAUGCCAAGCCCUGUACUUGGCAUCCCAGGGAAAGGGGGUGUGCGCUGAGCAGGUGUGAAAGGCAAGUGCCCAUUCCUGAAAGCCCAAGAAGAAGCCAGAGAGAUGCACCGUGCAGCAGACAUGCACCCCAGACCCACUCAGACGUGAAGAGGUGGGUUCACUUUAUUUUUCCUGCGCUGGAGCCAAAUGUCUUUUAGGAGCUCAAGUGGAAAAGGGGGUGGGCUCGAUCACAGGCAUUUAGCUCCUUUCUCCUCCAAGGCUGCAUCUCAGUUCCAGGAGGAUUUGCUUUAUCAUGUCAAAAUCAGUCUGAGAGGCUGGGAUGUGCUGCAGUAACAAGUAACCCCACUGUCUUCCCCUCACUCACACCUCGUGCCCCUCAGGGGUGUUCAGGAGCUCCGCCGCUUUAGGUGAAGAUGCAAUUCCCAAAUUCUGCACAUGAUCUUGGCGGCAGAGAGAAAGUG
Ictidomys tridecemlineatus (thirteen-lined ground squirrel) is the source of this 2726-nucleotide non-coding RNA. NCBI's taxonomy places the organism in Eukaryota, Metazoa, Chordata, Mammalia, Rodentia, Sciuridae. The record is from RefSeq and is a predicted model, not a curated record.